CCUAAAUCCUGAAGUGGAAGCUAGCUCCAGUUCAGAGCACCAAGUGAAGAGGACGGUCAGCUCAUGGUAACUUCGGCUGCCUUUGGAACUCCCCUCAGGACCAGCACUUUGUCCUGCGAACAGUGGCUAUUUCAAAUACGGUUGCCUGGGGACAAAUGUACAAGUCACAGCCAAGUGGUUUCCCCCAUCGCCUUAUCAAGCAUGGAGCCUGCCAGCCUGCUUCUACCUGGAUCCUAUUUGCCGUCUUGGGACAGAAUGCUAUUAGAUCAAUGUGUGCAGUGAUUACACUGGGAACAGAUGAAGGCUCACAGAACAUUCACCAACGUAGAUCGUAUGGUUUCUCAUGGAAGCCACUUGGGAAAGAUGGUGGAAUGACAACACGGAAGAAACUUGGUCGCGGAAUCAUGUCUUGGAGCUUUGUGCCUGGUAGAAACCAUCAUUUUGGACAUUCCAUGAGUGAGAAAUAAACUUCUAUUUUGUGACGACACCGAGAUUCUGGGGCUUAUCUAUUAUGACGGCUAGCAUUCACUAAAAUAGCCUGUAGAGCACUUAGCACAAUACCUGACACAAUACCCGCUUAAUAAAUGUUAGAUGUUGUUAAUAUCA
Molecule: long non-coding RNA, 606 nt
Filed under: Ursus maritimus (polar bear)
Lineage: Eukaryota; Metazoa; Chordata; Mammalia; Carnivora; Ursidae
Description: lncRNA (ENSUMAG00000018432.1)
Source: RNAcentral